UGGGUAUCCACAGAAACAAUGACUCUUGGUACUAACCAUUGAACCUUCAUCUGACCACCUAGCACUGUGGGAGCGAUAGGCCACAUGUACAUUCAAAGGCUCAGGUAAGGACAAUGAGCUGUUGAGAGAGAGA
Long non-coding RNA from Herpailurus yagouaroundi (jaguarundi), 133 nucleotides. RefSeq lists it as uncharacterized. Lineage: Eukaryota; Metazoa; Chordata; Mammalia; Carnivora; Felidae. The record is from RefSeq and is a predicted model, not a curated record. The transcript is spliced from 3 exons.